Molecule: transfer RNA, 73 nt
Filed under: Flavobacterium tibetense
Lineage: Bacteria; Pseudomonadati; Bacteroidota; Flavobacteriia; Flavobacteriales; Flavobacteriaceae
Rfam family: tRNA
About the family: Transfer RNA (tRNA) molecules are approximately 80 nucleotides in length. Their secondary structure includes four short double-helical elements and three loops (D, anti-codon, and T loops). Further hydrogen bonds mediate the characteristic L-shaped molecular structure. tRNAs have two regions of fundamental functional importance: the anti-codon, which is responsible for specific mRNA codon recognition, and the 3' end, to which the tRNAs corresponding amino acid is attached (by aminoacyl-tRNA synthetases). tRNAs cope with the degeneracy of the genetic code in two manners: having more than one tRNA (with a specific anti-codon) for a particular amino acid; and 'wobble' base-pairing, i.e. permitting non-standard base-pairing at the 3rd anti-codon position.
Source: Rfam by way of RNAcentral
CGGGAUGUGGCGCAGUUGGUAGCGCACUAGCAUGGGGUGUUAGGGGUCGCUGGUUCGAGUCCAGUCAUCCCGA